Molecule: long non-coding RNA, 303 nt
Organism: Dioscorea cayenensis subsp. rotundata (Guinea yam)
Lineage: Eukaryota; Viridiplantae; Streptophyta; Magnoliopsida; Dioscoreales; Dioscoreaceae
Exons: 3
Source: RefSeq, a predicted model, not a curated record
UUCCAAGAAUUAAUUCCGAUUAGAUGAAGCUUUAGAUCAAGCUUGGCUUUCACCCCCAUAGAAGAGUGAAAUAAGGCUUUUUAAAAAAAUGAUUUUGCCAAACGCCAUUCCAAGAUCCAUAAUGGCCGAGCCUUCGUUGAUGGGUUUCGAAUGCUCAGUCUUUAAUCACACCAAGAAGAGAGUCAUAGAACUAUUGCUGCAUAGCAUUCAGGUUAGCUUUCCAUUGUCUGUCUGAGAACAAAUUGAGUGGAGAUGAACAAGAUGAUCACCAAGUUUAAUCAUUAUAUGGUUGCUGUAAUUUUU